GACUGUGAUAGUGCUGAGCCAAAGGCCAGACUGUGAGAGUGCUGAGCCGGGGUAAGCUUGGUGCUACCUCUUUUCUUUUGUUUGUUAUUUUCUUUGAAUAAGAGGAUUGAAAGUUUCUAAAUAUUGUGAAGUGAAUUAUGGAAUGGAAAUGUGAUUGGUAUUAUUUGAGAAGAAGAAAGAUUGAAUGCUGAAAUCUGAUUGUAAUUCAGUAGAGAGAAUGAGUCUAUGUUUGUGUGAAACACUGUAAUGUGAAUGGCAGUUCUGUGUGAAGAAUUCCAGGGAUUGGAACGAGGGUAAUUGUGUGCUCAAAGCUGUGAGGGUGCAGUAUUACAGUUGGAGAUUAUGAGGAUGAAUAUAUUGGUGGAAAUAGGAGUUAUUGGUAUGAUUGAAUUGCUGUAAGGAAGAGAUCGAUAAGGUGAAGGAGGAGAUUAUAGUUUCCUUGUGUGUUCAGAUAUUAGAAAU
Molecule: long non-coding RNA, 462 nt
Filed under: Physcomitrium patens
Lineage: Eukaryota; Viridiplantae; Streptophyta; Bryopsida; Funariales; Funariaceae
Description: long non-coding RNA (PPAT_LNC004649)
Source: RNAcentral